Eptesicus fuscus (big brown bat) is the source of this 763-nucleotide long non-coding RNA. RefSeq lists it as uncharacterized. The record is from RefSeq and is a predicted model, not a curated record. NCBI's taxonomy places the organism in Eukaryota, Metazoa, Chordata, Mammalia, Chiroptera, Vespertilionidae. The transcript has 2 exons.
CUCACGUGUCUAUGAGGUCACGUUUACGGGCCUCCUCAGCCUUGUCGUCCCUGGGAAUUCGGUGGUGAGAGGAAACGGCUUUUGAAAUGAAUGUUCAUCACAGCAGUCGUCUGACGCCUCGCUCUCUCCGCUCUUUGAAUGUCCCAACAUGGAGUGGAAACUCCUGUUAAUCUCCAAAGGGAAAAGAAUUCAGGGCAACCGGACCCAAAGGGAAAAUAUCAACAGUUAUUGUUUAGGGCUAAUUUAACAGAUAAUUUAACUUCAAAAAACAAUGAUCAGGUCACUAUUCCAGAGCAGUGAAAAAAUGAAGAACUGAAGACAACUCUCCCUAACCAACCCCACUACAGUGUUUAGUCUUCCUGAUCAACGGAAUCAACAAUGAAUGUUUUUGCAUUUUACACCCGCAUUCUUAUUUAAAGAAUGAGACAAGAAAAGAGGGAAUAAAACUGAAGACCUCGACCUGAUUCUGAAAGCGCUACCUGGGCAGACAAAUUAAACUCAGGCAAAAAUGAAUAUCCAAACAUGUCCGGCAACUUUUCACUUGGACAGGAAUCUCCAAAUCUCAGCAAUAUGCAAUGUGCUUUCCUCCCGUGAAGCUCUUCGGAAAGGCCAAAGACCAUGAAAGAGGAUUACACAUGUCAGGCACCGGACCGCGAAAAGGACUUGGGACAUUUUUAUCUCCCCUCUCACUCCCACAAAAAUAAUUUUGAGGGUUAUUUGUUAUUAUUUAGAAAACCCUUUAUGAUUACAAUUUCAAAAUUUC